UGAUAUUGGCCAACUGAACAUAUACAGUGCUGCUGCUGUUUUAUUUCAAGAACAGGCAACCAUUCUCUUAAGUUUGUUUCUUGGCAAUGCAGAGGACUGCUUUGGAAAGGGUGAUCAGGAGUUCUUCGUGCACAGCCCUUCUGAUAUCAUGCAAAGCAUGAACUAAAGGUAUAAUUAAUUAUUUGCAGGAGGAAAGGAUGCUGAAUAGCCACGGGGGAAGAAAGAAUUAUGCUUCUUCCCACUCAAAACCAUGCAGUACCCAAAGUACUGCAUGAAACAGGAAUGUAUUUGCUGAAACAUCAAUAUCCAUUUUAAAAGGCGCAACCAACUUCCUCUGGUUCUUUUCCUUUUUUCUCAAGCCAGCUGCAUCUGUACCUUAGGGAUGUCCUUCCCACUUAGAAAAACAUGCAGCGUUGCCAAUAUUCUCAGAUUUCUCUCCUGGACAGAACAUUUAUCAGAAACGCAUGUCUGAGCCAAUGUUCAAGCUAAAUUCUAAGUAGUAAAUUUAUUUGCUCAGCACCAUUGUUCAUUUCAAGGAAUCAGCCACUUAUGUGAAUAAAUUAGCAAAGUGAGCCUCUUA
Molecule: long non-coding RNA, 580 nt
Organism: Podarcis raffonei (Aeolian wall lizard)
Lineage: Eukaryota; Metazoa; Chordata; Lepidosauria; Squamata; Lacertidae
Exons: 2
Source: RefSeq, a predicted model, not a curated record